Molecule: ribosomal RNA, 497 nt
Filed under: uncultured bacterium
Lineage: Bacteria
Description: partial 16S ribosomal RNA
Rfam family: Bacterial small subunit ribosomal RNA
Source: RNAcentral
GAUGAACGCUGGCGGCGUGCCUAAUACAUGCAAGUCGAGCGAACGGACUAGAAGCUUGCUUUUCUGAUGUUAGCGGCGGACGGGUGAGUAACACGUGGAUAACCUACCUAUAAGACUGGGAUAACUUCGGGAAACCGGAGCUAAUACCGGAUAAUAUUUUGAACCGCAUGGUUCAAAAGUGAAAGACGGUCUUGCUUUCACUUAUAGAUUGAUCCGCGCUGCAUUAGCUAGUUGGUAAGGUAACGGCUUACCAAGGCAACGAUGCAUAGCCGACCUGAGAGGGUGAUCGGCCACACUGGAACUGAGACACGGUCAAGACUCCUACGGGAGGCAGCAGUAGGGAAUCUUCCGCAAUGGGCGAAAGCCUGACGGAGCAACGCCGCGUGAGUGAUGAAGGUCUUCGGAUCGUAAAACUCUGUUAUUAGGGAAGAACAUAUGUGUAAGUAACUGUGCACAUCUUGACGGUACCUAAUCAGAAAGCCACGGCUAACUACGUG